Molecule: small nucleolar RNA, 65 nt
Organism: Nothoprocta perdicaria
Lineage: Eukaryota; Metazoa; Chordata; Aves; Tinamiformes; Tinamidae
Gene: SNORD24
Rfam family: Small nucleolar RNA SNORD24
About the family: U24 is a member of the C/D class of snoRNA which contain the C (UGAUGA) and D (CUGA) box motifs. C/D box snoRNAs have been shown to act as methylation guides for a number of RNA targets.
Source: Ensembl
UGCAAACGAUGCUAAUUACUUGUUGCUUAAUACAAUUGAUGACAACCACCAAGAUCGCUGAUGCA